AUAAUACUCCCUUCCUCCCAAGUUUUUUGUCUUAGGUUUGUUUAGAAAUUGAUGUAUCUAAAUACUAAAACGUAAUUAGAUACAUUCAUAUAUCAAACAAAUCAAAGAUAAGAAUUUUGAGACGGAGGGUGUACCUA
Hordeum vulgare subsp. vulgare (domesticated barley) is the source of this 137-nucleotide non-coding RNA. NCBI's taxonomy places the organism in Eukaryota, Viridiplantae, Streptophyta, Magnoliopsida, Poales, Poaceae. The record is from Rfam.